This 759-nucleotide ribosomal RNA is filed under the name uncultured Bacillota bacterium. RNAcentral's name for it is "bacterial SSU rRNA". It matches the Rfam family "Bacterial small subunit ribosomal RNA", at positions 60 to 812 of the family's 1533-position model. Lineage: Bacteria; Bacillati; Bacillota. The record is from RNAcentral.
AGUCGAGUGCGCAGUUUCCUGUAGCAAUACAGGAGAUCGGCGCACGGCGCACGGGUGCGUAACACGUGGGUAACCUGCCCUCCAAAGGGGGAUAACCCGCCGAAAGGCGGGCUAAUACCGCAUGAUAUUCCGGUGGCCUCGGCCGCCGGAAUCAAAGCUCGAAAGGGCGUUGGAGGAGGGGCCCGCGGCCGAUUAGCUUGUUGGCGAGGUAACGGCUCACCAAGGCUUUGAUCGGUAGCCGGUCUGAGAGGAUGGCCGGCCACACUGGAACUGAGACACGGUCCAGACUCCUACGGGAGGCAGCAGUGGGGAAUCUUGCGCAAUGGGCGAAAGCCUGACGCAGCGACGCCGCGUGGGGGAUGAAGCUUCUCGGAGUGUAAACCCCUUUCGACCCGGACGAAACGCCCGCAAGGGCUUGACGGUACGGGUAUAAGAAGCCCCGGCUAACUACGUGCCAGCAGCCGCGGUAAGACGUAGGGGGCCAGCGUUGCUCGGAAUUACUGGGCGUAAAGGGUUCGUAGGCGGUGCGGUAAGUCGGAAGUGAAAUCUCUGGGCUUAACUCAGAGGCUGCUUUCGAAACUGCCGUGCUCGAGUGCGGGAGAGGCGAGUGGAAUUGCAGGUGUAGCGGUGAAAUGCGUAGAUAUCUGCAGGAACACCCGUGGCGAAGGCGGCUCGCUGGACCGCAACUGACGCUGAGGAACGAAAGCUAGGGGAGCAAACAGGAUUAGAUACCCUGGUAGUCCUAGCCCUAAACCAUCA